GAUAUAAAAAGACUGUCUGAUAAUAUUUGAAACUCUUAAAGAACGCCAAUAUAACUUCUAUAACGAUUUUAAAUUAACCAGUGCAAAGAGGGGCAGUAGAGGGGCAGCCAGAAACCCAUAAACUGCUACAUCCCACAUCUAAGAUGACGCGACUGAAGCUCCAACCCUGUCGCGAGGUAUAAGGCGCAGCUCCGAUCCGUGUUUAAGAAACACAUUACCUGCACUCUGCUGCGGAUUGAUACCAACCCCAUCGUUGGUGAUGAUCGCGCUGGUCUGCGGGGGGACCUUGAACUCCUCGGCUGCGAAUUUCAGCACGGCGGUGAAGGGAGCGGCCUCCGGAACGCUGAAAACUUUGAAGGGGAGCUUCGGAUCAGAUGUGAGGACGACCUUGAA
Molecule: unclassified non-coding RNA, 393 nt
Filed under: Hevea brasiliensis (rubber tree)
Lineage: Eukaryota; Viridiplantae; Streptophyta; Magnoliopsida; Malpighiales; Euphorbiaceae
Source: RNAcentral